AUGUCCAGCUUUUAUUGUAAUCUGAUUACAUUUUCUAUGUGUGUUACUGUGAUUGCAGAGUGCCACAACAGAGACAGAUGGUGGAUGUGUCCUGCUACACAGAUGCUCCUCCUAGUUAUUCUUCCAAAGGGACGCAGCUCUCUACCAGAACAGAGAACUCACCUUAGAAACAACUGUGACAU
Molecule: long non-coding RNA, 182 nt
Filed under: Nothobranchius furzeri (turquoise killifish)
Lineage: Eukaryota; Metazoa; Chordata; Actinopteri; Cyprinodontiformes; Nothobranchiidae
Description: lncRNA (ENSNFUG00015006584.1)
Source: RNAcentral